GAUGAACGCUGGCGGCGUGCUUAACACAUGCAAGUCGAACGAGAAAUGGAGACGGAAACCUUCGGGCGGAAGGCUUCAUUUCGAGUGGCGGACGGGUGAGUAACUCGUGGGUAACCUGCCUCAUACAGGGGGAUAACAGUUGGAAACGACUGUUAAUACCGCAUAAGACCACAGCACCGCAUGGUGCGGGGGUAAAAACUCCGGUGGUAUGAGAUGGACCCGCGUUCGAUUAGCCAGUUGGCGCGGGAACGGCCCACCACAGCGACGAUCGAUAGCCGAUCUGAGAGGAUGACCGGCCACAUUGGGACUGAGACACGGCCCAAACUCCUACGGGAGGCAGCAGUGGGGAAUAUUGCACAAUGGGGGAAACCCUGAUGCAGCGACGCCGCGUGAGUGAAGAAGUACUUCGGUAUGUAAAGCUCUAUCAGCAGGGAAGAAAAUGACGGUACCUGAGUAAGAAGCCCCGGCUAACUACGUG
RNAcentral lists this ribosomal RNA (478 nucleotides) under uncultured bacterium. Its description in RNAcentral is "partial 16S ribosomal RNA". It matches the Rfam family "Bacterial small subunit ribosomal RNA", at positions 28 to 507 of the family's 1533-position model. The record is from RNAcentral.